UUGGCGUGCAGCCAAAAACGAGUUUCCACCGAGAGUCACGUUAUCAGGUAAUUAAACGUCAUUUGUAUCUAGAGGUAGCUGCAGCUUAGUCAGAGCUAUUUUCUGUCUUCUGUUUAUUUUGAAGGCGGAUGCCAGAGGCGACAGAAACAGGACGUUUCAGGACUGUUCCAGAGGGAUGUUCAAGGCAACUGCUUCCCUGCUUUGAGACACAGCCAGCAAAUGCCCCGUCUGAAUUGACCAAAGGCCAGGCGGGGUUCAACCUACUUGUGAAUGAAAGACUCCCUGUUUCCAGCAAGAGUUGUCAGAGAUCCCUCUGCAAGUGUUACAGUUUGUAAAUGAGAACAGAAGGGCUUCUGUAGAAACCCGAAAAGCGCAGACAACAGACGCCAGGGACUUCCCGGCCCCUUCUCUGGACAACCUAACUUGGUUUCCGUACGAUCCUUGUUGCUCUGAAGAGUGAAUCAGCCGGCACAUGCGUGCACCGGAGAGAGGUCCUUGACUCAGAGCUGAGAUCGUGUCUCCCGGCAAGAGGACCCAGAGGGCUGGUCCCCCCCCCACCGGAGAAGCAGCCGUUCGCUUACCUACAGCCGGCCUGGCCCAGAGACAGCCCUUCAGGAAAUACAAGGACAGAGAGGACAUGUUAUGUCUGGAACACUCUUGCUUGUUUUUCAGGAGCUGGCUGGCUCUGACAGUCAGUGUGUUCCUGGAUUUGAAGCCCUCAGCUUGCCGCAGUCUAUCUGGUUCCCGUCCGAAUAUCCUUCUCCUGAUGGCAGACGAUCUCGGCAUCGGAGAUGUCGGCUGCUAUGGCAACGACACCAUAAGGACUCCGAACGUUGACCGCCUUGCCGCGGAUGGCGUAAUGCUCACCCAGCACAUCGCCGCGGCUUCCGUGUGCACGCCAAGCAGAGCCGCUUUCCUAACAGGCAGAUACCCUCUCCGAUCAGGUAUGGUGUCCAGUAAUGGUUACCGUGUUCUUCAGUGGACGGGCGUAUCUGGAGGACUUCCACCAAAUGAAACAACUUUUGCAAAAAUAUUGAAAGAUAAAGGCUAUGCCACUGGACUCAUAGGAAAAUGGCAUCUGGGUCUCAACUGUGAAUCCUCCGAUGAUUACUGCCACCACCCGCUCAGCCAUGGCUUUGACCAUUUCUACGGAAUGCCGUUUUCCAUGAUGGGAGACUGUGAGCCCGGGGAAAUGUCUGAAAAGCGCGCAGGCUUGGAGCAUAAACUCAACGUCUGCUCGCAUGUCAUGGCGUUGGCCGCCUUUACACUCACCGCUGGGAAACUCACUCGCCUGGUAGCGGGCUCCUGGACUCUGGUCAUCUGCUCAGCCAUUGUGGCCCUACUGUGCCUCACGACCUCCUAUUUCAUGGGUGCCCUGAUUGUUCACGCCGACUGCUUUCUGAUGCGAAAUCACGCCAUCACCGAGCAGCCCAUGUCCCUUCAAAGGACGACGGCUCUUAUGCUCAAGGAGGUCUCAUCCUUUGUCAAAAGAAACAAGCAAGGACCUUUCCUCCUCUUCGUGUCCUUUCUACAUGUCCACACUCCUCUCAUCACUACCGAGAACUUCCGAGGGAGGAGUCCCCAUGGGCUGUACGGGGACAACACAGAAGAGAUGGAUUGGAUGGUGGGGCAGAUCCUUGAUACCUUGGACACGGAAGGUUUGACCAACAGUACCCUCAUUUAUUUUACGUCGGAUCAUGGGGGAUCCUUAGAGGCUCAGUUUGGAAACCAUCAAUAUGGUGGCUGGAAUGGGAUAUAUAAAGGUGGCAAAGGCAUGGGCGGCUGGGAAGGUGGGAUCCGGGUCCCAGGGAUACUCCGGUGGCCCGGGGUGCUGCCCGCUGGCCGCCUGAUCCACGAGCCCACCAGCCUGAUGGAUGUCUUCCCCACCGUGGUCCAGCUGGGGGGUGGCCAGGUGCCCCAUGACAGGGUGAUUGACGGCCGGGACCUGCUGCCCUUGCUCCUGGGGACAGCCCAGCACUCGGAGCACGAGUUCCUGAUGCAUUACUGCGAGAGCUUCCUGCACGCAGCCCGGUGGCACCAACGGAACACUGGAUUCUCCAUCAUCGUCUGACUGGAGCUGCUUGAGGUUUUCUGUUUCUAUGAAUCUUUUUAAAUCCAGCUCUUGGAUUUACUAAACAACUGUAUUUUUAAAUUUUCUAACUGCUUGAGUUCUGCCUCUGCCUUGGUCUGUGGUAACAGACUUUCAGCUAUCUGAGUUUCUUCUCUUUUCUUCAUUUCUGUUUCCCUCUCUAUUAUUCUGCAUUUUGCCCUGACAUUUUCUCCCUUUUUUGUGGAUUUGCCUUAAGGACUUGGUUUUCUUCCAGGGUUUGGGAAGGCCUAUAGCCCUCUUGCAAUUCAACUCACUCUUUUUUCUUUAUGCCUCAAAACCAUUCUCUGGACAGGUCCAGUUGUCUGAAACAAGAAUAAAAGAAUACCUUUUGGAAUCCCCCUUAUUUGAGGAAGUUACCAAUAGAUUUUUAAAAAAUCUCCCUCCUUUUCCUGUCCAUCCUUUCCAGUAGUAUCAUCAUCUGGGAUGUUUUUAUUGCUACAUUUUUGGGUUUUUAAGAAUUUCAUAACAUAGAUUUCCUCUUUUAAGAUUAAAAAAAAAAAAAAAAAACUUUCACUCAGGGACUUCCCCGGAAGUCCAGUGGUUAAGACUCCGUGCUUCCACUGCAGAGGGGGACGGGUUCAAUCCCUGGUUGGGGAACUCAGAUCCUGCAUACCAUGGGGCGUGGCAAAAAAAACAACAAAAACUUUCAUUCAGUUACCUAGCACAGUCUACAACUAUUUAUGCUUACGGAUAAUUUUUAUUGCUACAUUUUUGCCUUUUUAAACUUACAUACUAUAGAUUUCCCCUUUUACGAUUUUUUAGAAAACUUUCAUUCCAUUGCACAGUUCAGUCUACCAGCAUUUAUGCUUAGGGAUGAUUUCUGUUGCUACGCUUUUGAUUUUUUAAAGUCACAUAUUAUAGAUUUCCCUUUUUAAGGGGUUUUUUUUAACUUUCCUUCAGUUCCACAGCCCAACCUUCAAGCACUGCUGUGAGUGGCACUGAUACCUGGGAGCAACGUUCAUCCUCUUUUCCUUUACCCCGUGGCUGCCCCAUUACCGAACCUCUCCUCUCUCAGUUAUUGGGCAAAUAUCUCAAUUUUUUUUUCAAGGUAGAUAGGGAGUGUGUUCUUACUUUUUUUUUUUUUAACUUUUUGUUUUUCGGCCGUGUCACGCGCCAUGUGGGAUCUUAGUUCCCCAACCAGGGAUCGAACCCACGCCCCCUGAAUUGGGACCGUGGAGCCCUAACCACUGGACCGCCAGGGAAGUCCCCUGUUCCUACUUGCCAUGUCUCUUCGACGGCCCCCUCACUGGCCUCCCCAGGUCCACUCUUCAUCCCACUCCCAUUGUCCACUUAGCCCUCCAUGAAAACCUUUCCAGGACCACCCACCAUACCGAUUCCUCCCUGUGACAUGAGCCAGCCCCUCCCCUUCUCUGGGGCAAGAGCUCGGACCCUAGGAGCCCCCGGUCACCAAGCUGCAGCAGAACCAUGCCCUGUGAUUCUAGAACCUGCAGUUACUGCCUCAGGGCCUUUGCACGACCCGUCCCUGCCAUCGAGAACAUGCUCAGGAGGCUGACCGUCCUCCGUUCUUGACCUUCACGUCCCGCAUCCACCAUGACCCCACCCCGCACCUUGCACACGUCCGCCUUCCAUCACCUGGACCGCUUGUAUUUUCUUCCAGGCAUCCGGCACUCUUGGCAAUCUUCUCAUUUCUGGUGUCUAUUUACCGCUCUCUGGCCUGAGUCCCCUCCCUACGACUCUGUCUGUCUUCUCUCUGUACUCAUCUGCUGAAUGAUGAAA
Molecule: RNA transcript, 3847 nt
Organism: Aethalodelphis obliquidens (Pacific white-sided dolphin)
Lineage: Eukaryota; Metazoa; Chordata; Mammalia; Artiodactyla; Delphinidae
Gene name: arylsulfatase E-like
Exons: 12
Source: RefSeq, a predicted model, not a curated record